AACAAACUUAUGGAGCAUUAAGAAAUGUUUUAGAGAUAUAGAAGAUAAUUCAUUAGGAUUUAGAAUUUACAAAGACUAAAAGCUUUUAAAGGUAGUGAAUGGAAAGAUAUUUUUAGUUCUCAGGAAUCUAAGGAUCACCUGAUCCAACUUUGUGGAAACCAAAGCAAGGAGGAGUUAAGUGAUUUGGCUGGUUAGCAUCAAAGAUGAGACUAAUAUUCAGGCCCCCUGCCUGCCUGGCUACAAAUGUUUUAAAGGUGCUAAAGCCAAAGCAGGGGUCCUAAUUCCCCGCUUACCUAAAUGAGGCCCAUGCAUACAUGAUGCCAUAUGCUAGGAAAGGGUGACACUCUAAGGGAAUGUCUAUAUGAAACCUCCAUGAAAAAAAAAAAAAAAAUCAAUGUAGAGCCUUGACACAUUCUCAAGCCCCUUUUCUCAAAUUCACUGAAGCUCUCUAUUUUGUGGCAAAGCUGUAUGUGAAGUAUAGGUAAUAAAUGACACCAGCAUUAUUUUCACAUCUAAAAGUUCCUGAACAGCACUCUUCUUGUUUUUGUUAAAAAAAACAAACAAAAAAACCCCUAGCUUUCGAUUAGCUUCAGCCAGCCACAUUCAUUGCAUACACUUCAAGCAUGAAAUUUUGUUGUUGACAUAGAAUCAUAUCCCCUCAGGGUAUAAAAAGCCAUAUCUGAGUUCUCAAGUGUUUACUUAAAUAGAGAAAAAUGGAAAGUAGGGAUUAGCAACCCUUAUAUUAACUGUGGGGUUCUUAGCUUGGAUUCUAGAGUUUAGCUAUCUGGGUUCAACUCCAGAACUUCCUUUUUUUUUUUUUUUUAAGAGUAUAGUUGAUUUUCAGUGUUGUAUCAAUUUCUGUUGUAUAGCACAGUGACCCAGUCACAUGUUUUUCUUUUUAGGGCCACAGAGAUGGCAUAUGGAAGUUCCCAAGCUAGGGGUCGAAUCAGAGCUAUAGCUCCAGCCUACACCACAGCCAAAGCAACAUGGGAUCCAAGCAAUGUCUGCAACCUACACCAUAGCUCACAUCAACACUGGAUCCUUAACCCACUGAGCAAGGCCAGGGAUAGAACCUGGAUCCUCAUGGAUACUAGUUGGAUUCAUUUCCACUAAGCCACAGUGGGAACUCCCUAUACGUUCUUUUUCUCAUACUAUCUUCCAUCAUGUUCUAUCCCAAGAGAUUGGAUAUAGUUCCCUGUAUUGUACAGUAGGACUCCAUUGCUUAUCCAUUCUAAAUGUAAUGGUUUGCAUCUACCAACCGCAAACUACCUGGCCAUCCCACUUCCUCCGCCUCCCCCUUGGCAACCACAAGUCUACUCUCCCUGUCUGUGAUCUGUUUCUAUUUUGUAGAUAAGAUCAUUUGUGCCAUAUUUUAGAUUCCACGUAUAAGUGACAUCAUAUGGCAUUUGUCUUUCUCUUUCUGGCUUAGUAUGAGAAUCUCUAGUUGCAUACAUAUUGCUGCAAAUUCUAUUACUCUGUCCUUUUAAUGUCUGAGUAGUAUUCCACUGUGUAUAUGUACCACACCUUCUUAAUCCAUUCAUCUGGCAAUGGACGUUUAGGUUGUUUCCGUGUCUUGGCCAUUGUGAAUAGUAGUGCAACAAACAUAGAUAUUCCAUUUCUAAGCCGUGAGGUCCUAGGCAAGUGAUUUGCUUCCUCUUUACCUAUGUAUUUUCAUCUGUAAAUUGAGGAUGCAAGCAGCACCUAAUUUUUAGCAGUGGUGGGAGAUGGAGAUGAUGCCUGUCAAGUACCUGCCUUGUACCUUUUUCAGAGCUCUGUUCACUAUUAGCAUUCAGCAUUUCUAGUUUCCGUUUAUAUUUUUUUAUUCACUGAAAAGAUAUUUAUGGAGUGCCUACCACAUCCCAGGCACUGUUUAGGCACUGGAGUCACAGAAAUGACAGAUGAAAUCUUUAUUCUUGUAGAAUUCUGAACAUUUUCUAAUACAGAUUAAAAAUUAGGAAGCAACCAGAAAAUGUAUACAUAUACACACACACAAUAUGAUUUUCUCUAAGAAACCUUAUGAUCAGUUUGGGGAGACUUUGUAAAAAAUUUUAAGUGAACUUCAAAUAAUUUUUUUUUAAAUAAGAAUAAAUGAGGAGUGUAUUUCCCACUGUGGCUCAGCGGUAGCAAAACCGACUAGUGCCCGUGAAGAUGUGGAUUUGAUCCCUGUCCUCUCUCAGUGGGUUAAAGGAUCUCUCAUUGCCAUGAGCUAUGGUAUAGGUCACAGACGCGUCUUGGAUCCUACAUUGCUGUGGCUGUAGCUGGCAGCUGUUGCUCUGAUUCGACCCCUGGCCUGGGAACUUCCAUAUGCCAUGGU
RNAcentral lists this long non-coding RNA (2314 nucleotides) under Sus scrofa (pig). RNAcentral describes it as "lncRNA (ENSSSCG00035070512.1, ENSSSCG00065059842.1)". Lineage: Eukaryota; Metazoa; Chordata; Mammalia; Artiodactyla; Suidae. The record is from RNAcentral.